AUUGAACGCUGGCGGCAGGCCUAACACAUGCAAGUCGAGCGGUAGCACAGAGAGCUUGCUCUCGGGUGACGAGCGGCGGACGGGUGAGUAAUGUCUGGGAAACUGCCUGAUGGAGGGGGAUAACUACUGGAAACGGUAGCUAAUACCGCUUAACGUCGCAAGACCAAAGUGGGGGACCUUCGGGCCUCAUGCCAUCAGAUGUGCCCAGAUGGGAUUAGCUAGUAGGUGGGGUAACGGCUCACCUAGGCGACGAUCCCUAGCUGGUCUGAGAGGAUGACCAGCCACACUGGAACUGAGACACGGUCCAGACUCCUACGGGAGGCAGCAGUGGGGAAUAUUGCACAAUGGGCGCAAGCCUGAUGCAGCCAUGCCGCGUGUGUGAAGAAGGCCUUCGGGUUGUAAAGCACUUUCAGCGGGGAGGAAGGCGGUGAGGUUAAUAACCUCACCGAUUGACGUUACCCGCAGAAGAAGCACCGGCUAACUCCGUGCCAGCAGCCGCGGUAA
This 504-nucleotide ribosomal RNA is filed under the name uncultured bacterium. RNAcentral describes it as "partial 16S ribosomal RNA". It matches the Rfam family "Bacterial small subunit ribosomal RNA", at positions 29 to 523 of the family's 1533-position model. The record is from RNAcentral.